Molecule: ribosomal RNA, 166 nt
Filed under: Helotiales sp.
Lineage: Eukaryota; Fungi; Ascomycota; Leotiomycetes; Helotiales
Description: partial large subunit ribosomal RNA
Rfam family: Eukaryotic large subunit ribosomal RNA
Source: RNAcentral
CGGCAACAGCUCAAAUUUAAAAUCUGGCCUCUUCGGGGCCCGAGUUGUAAUUUGUAGAGGAUGUUUUGGGUACCGCACCGGUUUAAAUUUCUUGGAACAGGACGUCAUAGAGGGUGAGAAUCCCGUAUGUGACUGGCUGCCUUCGCCUAUGUGAAGCUCUUUCGAC